RNAcentral lists this ribosomal RNA (279 nucleotides) under uncultured bacterium. RNAcentral's name for it is "partial 16S ribosomal RNA". It matches the Rfam family "Bacterial small subunit ribosomal RNA", at positions 506 to 784 of the family's 1533-position model. The record is from RNAcentral.
UGCCAGCAGCCGCGGUAAUACAGAGGCCUCAAGCAUUAUCCGGAUUCACUGGGCGUAAAGGGUGCGUAGGCGGUUAUAUUAGUCGGGUGUUAAAUCCUGGGGCUCAACCUCAGAAUCGCAUUCGAAACGGUAUAACUAGAAGAUGUGAGAGGUGAACAGGACUCUCGGUGUAGGGGUGAAAUCCGUUGAUAUCGAGGGGAAUACCAAAUGCGAAGGCAGUUCACUGGCGCAAUCUUGACGCUGAGGCACGAAAGCGUGGGUAGCGAACGGGAUUAGAUA